UACGUAGGGUGCGAGCGUUGUCCGGAAUUAUUGAGCGUAAAGAGCUCGUAGGCGGCUUGUCGCGUCGGAUGUGAAAGCCCGGGGCUUAACUCCGGGUCUGCAUUCGAUACGGGCAGGCUAGAGUUCGGUAGGGGAGAUCGGAAUUCCUGGUGUAGCGGUGAAAUGCGCAGAUAUCAGGAGGAACACCGGUGGCGAAGGCGGAUCUCUGGGCCGAUACUGACGCUGAGGAGCGAAAGCGUGGGGAGCGAACAGG
RNAcentral lists this ribosomal RNA (253 nucleotides) under uncultured bacterium. Its description in RNAcentral is "partial 16S ribosomal RNA". It matches the Rfam family "Bacterial small subunit ribosomal RNA", at positions 524 to 776 of the family's 1533-position model. The record is from RNAcentral.